Molecule: microRNA precursor, 262 nt
Filed under: Amborella trichopoda
Lineage: Eukaryota; Viridiplantae; Streptophyta; Magnoliopsida; Amborellales; Amborellaceae
Description: miR8565e stem-loop (atr-MIR8565e)
Rfam family: MIR8565 microRNA precursor family (bases 55-208)
Source: miRBase by way of RNAcentral
AUGAAUUUUUAGUUUCAGUAAUAAUAAUAAAGAGUAAUGAUCCUAUGAGACCCUCCCACACCCAUGUAUGUAGGACCCCAAAGGAUCACCAUUAAAUUUGGCACAGAUCUCUAGAAAAGUUAUCACAUGAGUGUGGGACUUGACUUUUCUAGAGAUCUGUGCCAAAUUUAAUGAUGAUCAUUUGGGGUCCUACACACAUGGGUGUGAGAGGGUCUCAUAGGAUCAUUACUCAAUAAUAAAUAAAAGAAAAAAGAAGAUGCAU